RNAcentral lists this ribosomal RNA (225 nucleotides) under uncultured bacterium. RNAcentral describes it as "partial 16S ribosomal RNA". It matches the Rfam family "Bacterial small subunit ribosomal RNA", at positions 118 to 345 of the family's 1533-position model. The record is from RNAcentral.
UGAGCAAUCUGCCCUUCACAUCGGAAUAACCAUUGGAAACGAUGGCUAAUACCGAAUAUGACUUCGGAUCGCAUGAUCUGAAGUGGAAAGCUCCGGCGGUGAAGGAUGAGCUCGCGGCCUAUCAGCUUGUUGGUGGGGUGAUGGCCCACCAAGGCGACGACGGGUAGCCGGCCUGAGAGGGUGACCGGCCACACUGGGACUGAGACACGGCCCAGAUCCUACGGG